This 247-nucleotide long non-coding RNA is filed under the name Elaeis guineensis (African oil palm). RNAcentral describes it as "long non-coding RNA (EGUI_LNC021022)". Lineage: Eukaryota; Viridiplantae; Streptophyta; Magnoliopsida; Arecales; Arecaceae. The record is from RNAcentral.
CACAGCAUCAAGAAAGGGAAAUGAUCACGAACACCUUCUGCUUCUCCUUCUUCGAGCUCUUCACGGGGUUUCACCCCUGAAGUUUUCCAGCAACGUCGGCUUAACGACUAUGAAUGCAAGUUUCAAAAAAUUGAUCGUCAACUCGUCUGACUUCAGGUGGAAGGUCGGAAGUCCUCCAAUGACUACAACUUCUACAUUGCCUCUCUCUCAGCGCAUCCUGGAUGAGCCGAUUCUAUUUUGAUUCAAG